GAUAAACGUUGGCGGCGCACAUAAGACAUGCAAGUUGAACGGACUUAAUCGAAAUAUUUAUAUUUUGAAGCGGUUAGUGGCGGACUGGUGAGUAACGCGUAAGGAACCUGCCUAUUAGAGGGGAAUAACAGUGAGAAAUCAUUGCUAAUACCGCAUAUGCCAUAGAUAUCACAUGAUAACAGUGGGAAAGGAGCAAUCCGCUAAUAGAUGGCCUUGCGUCUGAUUAGAUAGUUGGUGGGGUAACGGCCUACCAAGUCGACGAUCAGUAGCCGGACUGAGAGGUUGAACGGCCACAUUGGGACUGAGAUACGGCCCAGACUCCUACGGGAGGCAGCAGUCGGGAAUAUUGCGCAAUGGAGGAAACUCUGACGCAGUGACGCCGCGUAUAGGAAGAAGGUUUUCGGAUUGUAAACUAUUGUCGUUAGGGAAGAGAAAGGACAGUACCUAAGGAGGAAGCUCCGGCUAACUACGUG
This 473-nucleotide ribosomal RNA is filed under the name uncultured bacterium. RNAcentral's name for it is "partial 16S ribosomal RNA". It matches the Rfam family "Bacterial small subunit ribosomal RNA", at positions 28 to 507 of the family's 1533-position model. The record is from RNAcentral.